GUGCUCGCUUUGGCAGCACAUAUACUAAAAUUGGAAUGAUACAGAGAAGAUUAGCAUGGCCCCUGUGCAAGGAUGACAUGCAAAUUCGUGAAGCAUUCCAUAUUUUU
This 107-nucleotide small nuclear RNA is filed under the name Saimiri boliviensis boliviensis (Bolivian squirrel monkey). Lineage: Eukaryota; Metazoa; Chordata; Mammalia; Primates; Cebidae. The record is from RNAcentral.